GCAGUUGUCGAGGUGCUGCAUGGCUGUCGUCAGCUCGUGUCGUGAGAUGUUGGGUUAAGUCCCGCAACGAGCGCAACCCUUGUCCGCUGUUGCCAUCACGUUAUGGUGGGCACUCUGCGGAGACUGCCGGUGAUAAACCGGAGGAAGGUGGGGAUGACGUCAAGUCAGCAUGGCCUUUAUGUCUGGGGCUACACACGUGCUACAAUGGCCGAUACAAACCGUCGCGAUACCGCAAGGUGGAGCUAAUCGGAGAAAGUCGGUCUCAGUUCGGAUUGCAGGCUGCAACUCGCCUGCAUGAAGUUGGAAUCGCUAGUAAUCGCGGAUCAGCACGCCGCGGUGAAUACGUUCCCGGGCCUUGUA
Molecule: ribosomal RNA, 360 nt
Filed under: uncultured bacterium
Lineage: Bacteria
Description: bacterial SSU rRNA
Rfam family: Bacterial small subunit ribosomal RNA
Source: RNAcentral